Molecule: ribosomal RNA, 459 nt
Filed under: uncultured bacterium
Lineage: Bacteria
Description: partial 16S ribosomal RNA
Rfam family: Bacterial small subunit ribosomal RNA
Source: RNAcentral
CCUACGGGAGGCAGCAGUGAGGAAUAUUGGUCAAUGGGCGCGAGCCUGAACCAGCCAAGUCGCGUGAGGGAAGACGGUCCUAUGGAUUGUAAACCUCUUUUGUCGGGGAGCAAAAGACGCCACGCGUGGCGUUCCGAGAGUACCCGAAGAAAAAGCAUCGGCUAACUCCGUGCCAGCAGCCGCGGUAAUACGGAGGAUGCGAGCGUUAUCCGGAUUUAUUGGGGUUAAAGGGUGCGCAGGGGGAAGAUCAAGCCAGCGGUAAAAUUGAGAGGCUCAACCUCUUCGAGCCGUUGAAACUGGUUUUCUUGAGUGAGCGAGAAGUAUGCGGAAUGCGUGGUGUAGCGGUGAAAUGCAUAGAUAUCACGCAGAACUCCGAUUGCGAAGGCAGCAUACCGGCGCUCAACUGACGCUCAUGCACGAAAGUGUGGGUAGCGAACAGGAUUAGAUACCCUGGUAGUC